AUCUGCCCAAUCGAGAACUGGCUUUUGUCUGGCGACACGGGGGAAAGAUCUCGUCCCCGUCCCCGUCCCCCGCGUCGCCCCCGUCUGGCGACACGGGGGAAAGACCUCGCCGCUGCUCGAAGCCGUGCCGCGCCCGAGGAUGGUGACGGCGGGGCGGCCUCGUCCUCCUCCCCCCCGCCAGAUCCCCGCCAAUCCUCGAUCUGGCCGGGGCCUCCUCCACCAUCGCCCCCCUCCCGCGCCCCUACCGGUGGGCCAGCCGGCGAGGCUGCGGCGCGCCCGGAGCUGGUACCGGUGAGGUCUCGCCCCGCCCCCCGUCAUGCCAGAGCGCCACCACCACCACCUCUUGGAUCUGAUCUGGCGCUCUGUGGUCGUGCACCUCCUCCAACUGCUGCGGUUCGUCUGCCCGUCUGAUGCGGCGGCGCGGCCACGCCCGUGAUCCUCCUCCCCGACCUGUCUCUUCUCCCCGUUUUGGUGGAGAAGGACGUUGCUUUUGGGCGUAGGUGGCUGGGCUGGCUGGGAUUUGGUCCUGCCCCGGAGCAGACCACCCUUCGUCUCCGACGGCGCCUCCUCCGAUCGGCGGUGUCGACCUCUGCGCGUGUUUGGUCAUGGUGGUCUCUCUUGGCAGUCGGUCAGAGCUCUGCGGUGGAUCCCCGUCGACAUCACUCCGGUCCUGACGGCCAUGAACCUGCGUUCUCCGGUGUCCGUGGCCUGUCAGCGCUAUGCCGGUGUGGAUUUUCGGCCUCGACGCUCCGGUAGCUGCGUCCCUUCCGGCUACUUUGGCUUGUCGGUGUUCCGGCGGCCACGUCCCUCGCAGCCCGGAUCUGCGUCCCCUUCCGGUUCCUGGCUUGCUAGCGGCGUCGGCCACCACCAUCUCCCCGCAUCGGCUCUUUGUCUGCUGCCUUCCCGACCCCGUCCACCAACACGCCACGCCGGCUCCAAAGCUUGCGUUUUUCGGUGGUGGCAGGUGCAACCUCACCUUGCUCCCUUCUGUGGUGGCGGUCGUCUAGCGUGUUGACUUCUUCAUCUUCGGAUCCUCAUCUGGACGCAAUGGGAUUGCACGAACUAAGCCCAGGAGAAAUUCUUGCUCGGCUUGCCGAUGCUGGCAGCGGCGGCACUUGUGGAUGUUGUUUCCCUUCCUGAAGACACUGUCAUGGCCUUUAUCCGUGCCCCUCUUCGAGUAUCGGGGGAAACCCUAGAUCCGGUUCUCCGGAUCGGAUAGCGGCAACGUAACGAUGUUGUUCCCCUUCUUGAAGGCGCUAUCUUGCUAACUCGCGGCGUCCCCGGUGUUGGAUUUGAAGAUGUUUGACGCCUUGCUAGUUUGGCUUGCCUCCUUAGUUCUAGGCUUGGUGGGUUUAGUUGUGUCUUUUUCCUGUUCGGGUUGAGCAUCCCUUGUCUCUCUGCUCUGGGUUCCAUGCUCAUUCCUUCUUGCGUUCAUGUCAUGUUUUGUAACCCUCCUCUGUACUCAAUUCUCUUUCUUCUAUCAAUGAAAUGAUACACAAGCUUUGCGUAUUCGCGAAAAA
Molecule: ribosomal RNA, 1520 nt
Filed under: Triticum aestivum (bread wheat)
Lineage: Eukaryota; Viridiplantae; Streptophyta; Magnoliopsida; Poales; Poaceae
Description: partial small subunit ribosomal RNA
Source: RNAcentral